GAUGAACGCUGGCGGCGUGCCUAAUACAUGCAAGUCGAGCGAACGGACGAGAGGCUUGCUUCUCUGAUGUUAGCGGCGGACGGGUGAGUAACACGUGGAUAACCUACCUAUAAGACUGGGAUAACUUCGGGAAACCGGAGCUAAUACCGGAUAAUAUUUUGAACCGCAUGGUUCAAAAGUGAAAGACGGUCUUGCUGUCACUUAUAGAUGGAUCCGCGCUGCAUUAGCUAGUUGGUAAGGUAACGGCUUACCAAGGCAACGAUGCAUAGCCGACCUGAGAGGGUGAUCGGCCACACUGGAACUGAGACACGGUCCAGACUCCUACGGGAGGCAGCAGUAGGGAAUCUUCCGCAAUGGGCGAAAGCCUGACGGAGCAACGCCGCGUGAGUGAUGAAGGUCUUCGGAUCGUAAAACUCUGUUAUUAGGGAAGAACAUAUGUAUAAGUAACUGUGCACAUCUUGACGGUACCUAAUCAGAAAGCCACGGCUAACUACGUG
RNAcentral lists this ribosomal RNA (497 nucleotides) under uncultured bacterium. Its description in RNAcentral is "partial 16S ribosomal RNA". It matches the Rfam family "Bacterial small subunit ribosomal RNA", at positions 28 to 507 of the family's 1533-position model. The record is from RNAcentral.